UACGGAGGAGGCAAGCGUUAUCCGGAAUUAUUUGGCGUAAAGCGUCCGCAGGUGGCUAUUCAAGUCUGCGGUCAAAGACUGGGGCUUAACCCUGGAAAGGCCGUGGAAACUGAAGAGCUAGAGUGCAGUAGGGGUAGAGGGAAUUCCCGGUGUAGCGGUGAAAUGCGUAGAGCUCGGGAAGAACAUCGGUGGCGAAAGCGCUCUGCUGGACUGCAACUGACACUCAGGGACGAAAGCUAGGGGAGCGAAUGGG
This 253-nucleotide ribosomal RNA is filed under the name uncultured bacterium. Its description in RNAcentral is "partial 16S ribosomal RNA". It matches the Rfam family "Bacterial small subunit ribosomal RNA", at positions 524 to 776 of the family's 1533-position model. The record is from RNAcentral.